RNAcentral lists this long non-coding RNA (322 nucleotides) under Gorilla gorilla gorilla (western lowland gorilla). RNAcentral describes it as "lncRNA (ENSGGOG00000044500.1)". Lineage: Eukaryota; Metazoa; Chordata; Mammalia; Primates; Hominidae. The record is from RNAcentral.
GUUUAUGUUUAGAGUAAUGAAAGCUAGUUUUUCCCGAAAAGUAAAUUUCGAAUUAUGUCACCUGUCUGACUGUAUUCUUUUAUCAUCCUCUAGUCCCCACACAAGUGAACUGACAGGAGGAACCAAGGAGGCAUGUAUCUACAAAAGUGUGUCAGAACGACUUUCCAGGUUUGAAGAUUAUGAAAAUGCUGAAUAUGUCGCUUCAUAUGACAGCAAGAUUAAGAAAAUUGUUCAUUCAAUUGUGUCAUCCUUUGCAGUUGGGCAUGUGAGACAUAGAAAACACCAUGUAUUAAAUAUACCUGAGACUUAAUGCAUAAAAAAC